This is a long non-coding RNA of Gasterosteus aculeatus aculeatus (three-spined stickleback), 1732 nucleotides long. The record is from Ensembl. NCBI's taxonomy places the organism in Eukaryota, Metazoa, Chordata, Actinopteri, Perciformes, Gasterosteidae.
UGUAGGACAUUUCUUACAAAUUAAGAGCUUCAUGAGGCUUUUGAGGAGCGGGUGCGCUUGUUUCUCGUCUCCACCACGAGAAGGGAUCCUAAUUCCAAUGGGGUUGUUUUCAACAAGAAAACAAUUUAUGUCCCCGUUCAGCAAACCGGAUGCUUCACAAACUGCAGUGACACCGAGCUCCACAGCGACUCCUCUGCUUGGACCAGGAGCAGAAGAAGGAGGACGGACGGCAGCGUCCCCCAGUUCCAACCGGGGGGAGGAAGCAGCAGAACUUUGUAUAGAAUCCAAACAAACAAACAAGCCGAGGUUCAGCAGGUCGUAAAGGAUCCUCCAUCCACACUGCAGCAAAGCGCUCUUUACCCAGGCUGAAGGACGACGCCUCAGUGCGGCACAACGAACCACACGUCUUUUCUCGUUCAAAACGACUAUUCGACCUCCUCCUGUGCCCUGAAGUUCACUUGAGUUUAGUUUGGUUUAGGUCCUGCACCAGAGAAAGCCCUCAGCUAGAGGCUACACCUUGAAAACAGCUGCAUCGGCGGCCUCCCUGCCGGUAUCUUUGGAACCGAUCGCCCCCCCUCCCUCCCUCCCUCGGGGGGGAGGUUUACCUUACGGGGGCGACAGGGGCUUACUGGAACACGCUGACCACGUCACGUGACGGACCCGCGUCAUUAACUGCAAGGAGGCGCAAUGAGCCGGCAGAAAGAACAAAGGUCACGGGAUGAACGCGCACAGAUGUGCUCCGUCCUCGAAGCCGGCCCGCAGUCUUCAAAUAGGCACAGAGUUGUGGAACAGCGGGAGAGCGAGAGUUUUGUUCCACCUGCUGGGAGUCGAAAUAACGUGACCUCUGAAGUUCCUCCGGUACGCAACCCCAACUUCUCCUUCAGGGGAGAGAGAGUUUCUCUAAUUGCGGCCUGGGGUCAGCAGAUCGGAUGCCCCCCCCGAGCGUCUGUGGGACUAUUAUUAGACGCUCGGAGCAUUUAGGGGAGGGCGGGUCAAGCUAACGCAGCGCUUAUUUGAGUAUGAUUGAUGAGGACAUGUGAGACAUUUACAGUAGUUAACUUUACAACUAUCGCGAAGCCGUGAGUUGCUUCAACAGUUAAAACCACUGUGCUGUUUUCAAUGUCGUGCUUUAUAACAUUUCAAUGUCAUGUGCAUUAUUUUAAUGGGUUUCCAGGCAACAUGGCGCUCAACUAUUCCAUUUGGCUUUCUUUUACCUUUUUUAGUUGAAUUUAUCACUUUAUUUACUGUUAUUAUUUAUUUAUCUUACUCCUAUUUUUACUGCAUUUUGCAAUGGUGUCAGUUGGAUUUAUUUUAUACUUAAUUAUCAUUGCUUAGAAAUGUUCAUAUUAGUUUGUCAUUGAUUGAUUACUACUGUUUUUUCCUGUUCUUGUGUUGUAAUUUUCAAUAACACUCUCAAAAAAUAAUUUUCCUCUGGGUUAAUGAAUUGAAAUCUUACCUCAUUUUCUUUUAUAUUUUGUGUUUCUUUCCAUGGGAAAUUGCACAUGAAUCAACAUUUCAGUUCCCACCAGAAGUACUGCAUGAGGCAGCUUCUAACAAACUAACACUGUUCAGCACAGUGCAACAAAAUCAACCAAUGCGAGUAUCGCAGAGCAGAGCCGGAGAUGAUACAGCUUGCAUGUGCUUAGAGGUAACAAGUGUCGGGAUCUCCGAUCCCUCCGAGUUGGUUGAUGAGCAGGAUCGCAACACGUUGAUCAAUUAAAGUCAAAAAGUU